This 508-nucleotide ribosomal RNA is filed under the name uncultured bacterium. RNAcentral describes it as "partial 16S ribosomal RNA". The record is from RNAcentral.
GGAGUUAGCCGGUGCUUCUUCUGUGAGUGAUGUCCUUCCUGCCGGCUAUUAACCCGCAGGCCUUCUUCCUCACUGAAAGUGCUUUACAACCCGAAGGCCUUCUUCACACACGCGGCAUGGCUGGAUCAGGGUUGCCCCCAUUGUCCAAUAUUCCCCACUGCUGCCUCCCGUAGGAGUCUGGGCCGUGUCUCAGUCCCAGUGUGGCUGAUCAUCCUCUCAGACCAGCUACGGAUCGUCGCCUUGGUGAGCCGUUACCUCACCAACCAGCUAAUCCGACAUAGGCUCAUCCGAUAGCGCGAGGCCCGAAGGUCCCCCGCUUUCCCCCGUAGGGCGUAUGCGGUAUUAGCCCUGGGUUUCCCCAGGUUAUCCCCCACUACCGGGCAGAUUCCUAUGCAUUACUCACCCGUCCGCCGCUCGCCACCAGGGAGCAAGCUCCCCGUGCUGCCGCUCGACUUGCAUGUGUUAGGCCUGCCGCCAGCGUUCAAUCUGAGCCAUAAUCAAACUCUGA